UAUUUAUACACAUUCACUAAGUUACAUCACCACCCAUCUCUCCUUUACUUUCUCACACACAUUUACAAAUCCCCCAUAUAACUUUCAAUCAAACCAAUGGCGCUCAGCUGGAAAGAUUGGUGCCUUGAAGUUGGAUUGGAAGAAGACAACAAGUAGAGAAAUAUGCUAUGACCGGAAAAUUGAAGAAAGUUUGUUUAUACACUUAAAUGAAAGGGAGACUAGAAUAGUUGUCAGAUAAUCCGCCACAAAAUGUUCUUUAAUGUUGAAAUUAGGUGUAUGGUUUUUGUAUAGUUUGGAUUUUAUUGUGUUAUUUGAAUAAGUUGGUAUUUUAAUUUGAUUGUUUGUAUAUUAAGUAAAGUUGGUUUUUUAUAUUUAUUAAAGAUUUGAGUAUAAUGAUUGAGCGAAAAAUAAUGAAAAAAAUAAUAAAAAAGUUAAAGUUUCUUAAUAUUAGUUGUUAAAUCCUUAGC
Molecule: long non-coding RNA, 467 nt
Filed under: Helianthus annuus (common sunflower)
Lineage: Eukaryota; Viridiplantae; Streptophyta; Magnoliopsida; Asterales; Asteraceae
Description: hypothetical non coding rna
Source: RNAcentral